RNAcentral lists this transfer RNA (65 nucleotides) under Macrogyrus oblongus. RNAcentral's name for it is "tRNA-Ala". It matches the Rfam family "tRNA". From Rfam's summary of the family: Transfer RNA (tRNA) molecules are approximately 80 nucleotides in length. Their secondary structure includes four short double-helical elements and three loops (D, anti-codon, and T loops). Lineage: Eukaryota; Metazoa; Arthropoda; Insecta; Coleoptera; Gyrinidae. The record is from RNAcentral.
AGGAUAGUAGUUAAUUAUAACGUUUGAUUUGCACUCAAAAAGUAUUAGAAAUCUAAUUUAUCUUA